AAUAGAUAAGCAAGUAAAUAAAUUAGGAAACGGUAAAAAUAAAUAAAUAAAUAAACAAAAAUAAAUAAUAAAUAAAUAAAUAAGUUAAGGAAAAUAAUAUAAAGAGGAAGAUAACCAAUAAAAAGUGAAUGAUAAUCAUAAAACUAAAACUAAAAAAUAAAAUAAAAUAAAAUAAAAAUAAACCAAUAAACAAAAGUCGAGCCCAAAAG
This 209-nucleotide long non-coding RNA is filed under the name Vitis vinifera (wine grape). RNAcentral describes it as "long non-coding RNA (VVIN_LNC007800)". Lineage: Eukaryota; Viridiplantae; Streptophyta; Magnoliopsida; Vitales; Vitaceae. The record is from RNAcentral.